UCCCCCCUAACCCUGCUGCUGCCUCUCACUUCCCCUAAUAGCCCACUGGUGUUGCUAGUCCCCCCAUCACUUCCCCCCACAACCCCCUGGCCCUGCUGGUGCCCCUCACUCCCCACCCUACAGACCCCUGGCCCCACAGCCCUGCCAGGGGAGGCCCCCAGCUGCCAGAAAUAUGGGGCCAGGGACUCAGCUCUGCAUCCUUCUGCCCCUUUAGCAGUGCCUGAGCCCCGUCUGCCGCCCAUGGUGGAGUUGGUGGCUGCUGCAGCAUAGUGGAGUGCAGAGCCCGGCUCCCCUUCCCCAUUGGUGGCACGACUGCUGCAGGCUUGGGUGGGGGGUGGGGUCAGCUCCCUGCCACUGCACACACUCCUGGGGGUAGAGGGUCUCAUGCCCCCAGAUCUGUGCAUGGGGUGGGGGCAGGCUGCCUUCUGUGGGCUCGGGCUACCCACCCUGCUGCUCUGCCAGGGCCUCCACAGCCUAGAUGGUGGGACCCAGCGCAACCGGACAGAGCGGGGCCCAGCUGGGAAUUUCCUUGCCGCUAUAAGCUCUGCACUGCCCCUGCAUGCCGUGCAACAGCAAGGGGCAGGACUCUUGGCUUCUGCUUCCACUGCUGUGGGAAGUGCAGUGGGCUCAUUGCCAGAGCAGUGCACAGCUCACAGUGGGAAGGAGCUUCCCCACCCAGCCCUGCUUUUCCCUGCUGGGCUGCAGAGGCCCCACAGGAGGGCAAAAGUCAUCCUCCUUGUCCUGAUGGCAGGCUAGGAUUGGUAGGACAUGAUCUUCUGGCUUUGUGGUCUGCAAUCUUUGGGGGUCAUUGCUUGUAGCUUUCAGCCAUCAGGGUGAAGCAUGAUAUAGUAUUUGAUAAUUCUUAUCUGCCAACUCGACGUCGCUGCAGCCUUUAACUGUUAAACCACAGAAGGCUAUUUUCACCUGCUGCAAGAGGAUUGUCUUCCUUCACAUUGUCACAUACAUACAUCAUUCAUUCUUUCAUUACUUCUUUUUAAACAUGUUAGACAUAUCACAGACCUUACAUAAGCAUUUUCCUUAUGCCAAAUUUAGGUUCUAAAAUCAUGAAACCAAUAGGUCAAAUAUAUUUAUGCUAAGCAAUAGGAAAUUUAAAAUAGAUGGCUAAUUCCAGAACAGUAAUGACUGAUUAAAAUAUUAUAAAAAGUAAAUCAUAACACAAUUACAUUUAUCUUAAUGGCUAAAUAAUUCAUUAUAUAAAAAUAAAAGUAACAAUAUGAGCAAUCAAAGCAAUUAUAGCUACUGCAAUACACUACCAUCCCAGCCCCAUCUCCCCUCGAGCUGCUACUCCUCAUUUGACCCCAUGGUUUCCUCUGGCCUCUUCCCCCCACAGCCCUGCCAUCUGCAGGGAAGAUGGUUUCUACUCCCAUUGCAGAGCGGCAUAACAUGCUGGUGAGUUUGCCCUCAGUAAGGAUGGCUGCUGUCACUGAGGCUUUCCAAUGAGACUGAAGUCAGGAUCCUCUGGCUUCUGAGAGAAAUGAAGGGAGCCAUGGGACAGCACUGGGGAAGGGGACAAUGGAGAGCAGGAGGGUCUGGUAGGGCAGGAAGGAAAGAUAAGAGGAUGGGAGGCUGGGGUGCCAGGUCACCUAGAUGUAGGGGUGUGGGAGCUGAGAGGUGCAGACUGAAAGACAUAAGAGAGGCAUAAGAACAGAGAACUACUAGUUACGGGGUUAGAUUAUAGGUCCAUCUUGCCCAGUAGCCUCUGUCACACACAGGCAGACAGAGGAUGCCAAAAGGUAGAGUGAACAGGGGGAGAAGAUGUGAGUUACAGAGAAAGGGGAGAAGAUAGAAUGGCAGCUAUGAGAUCUCUCGUUUCCCCUCAUUACUGAGCAGAGGCUUUGGUGGUCCAAUUUCUCCGGGUGGGGGGGAAGUGGGGUACAGACUUUCUGCCUCCAGCCUCUCAGCCCUACCUCUUCAUACCUCCUGUAAUUGCCAUAUGCUCCUGCCCUGUUUCCCCCAUACCUGCCAUCCCCCUACUCCCCUGCCAUUCAUUGUUCAAGCAGAAAAGGAGAGCAAAGGCAGCCAGCACCACAUCCAGGUUGUGUUUCUGCCUCCACAUACACCAUCCUCUUGCAUCAGUCUCUCUGAAAAUGGGCUUCUCCACCUUCCUAGACAUGCACAACCUGUAGCAUCUCCCCUCAGAAAGCUAUUUAUCAGAACAUCCCCUUUGUCACAUGCCAGAGAGCAAAAUUAUACAUGAAUCCCAGAGACUGAUCCUAAAGGUACCAUUCUACCACAGCCUUGACAAAUUUCCUCCAUGGUACUGAGGUCCACAUUUAAGGUGACCCUGAUGUCAUUGAAGUUGGCUAUUUGUGUUGCCAAGGUAAGGUCAUUCGUAUAUACUAAUUUGCAUAAUUUUGUUGAUGGCACAUGGCUUCUUUAUACUUUAAAGAGUGUUGGUGCAAGUACUGAAUGUUGUAGCAGUCCAUUGCUGAGGAACCAGGAUGAGCUGACUCUGUCACUCUGUCAUACAUUGCUCCUCCACCCAUUCGUUGUAAAGCAGCAAAUUAAGGAAAACAAACAUCUCCCCAUCCACAAUGACCUCAACAGUGCCCUUCACCAUUGCCUAAAGUGGUGCAAACCCUUCUGGAUCCAUGCACUUAACCUUCAACAAUGUGACCUCAAACUUAAUGAAGCUUGGCAAACCAAAUGGAAUUCACAGGAAGUCCCAAAUAUACAUCUUGUGAUAGAUCCAGUGCAGAAGGUCCUUUGCUUUGACCUCCCAAAACUCUCAGGGGCAACUCUAUACCAUAUCUCCACAAACCAUGGGGGAUGCGGAUACUUGAUACACAAAUGGAAAAUUAAAAACUCUCCAGUGUGCAACUGUGGUCACCCAGAGCAGACCAUGGAACUUAUUAAUAAUGACUCAGUGCCUAAAGUACAAAUCUGAAGGAGCUAUCACAACAAUUCACUCUGCUGCUCCUGAUGAAAUUGUCUGGCUCACCUAAGCAGCUGGCUUUACCUAAAUGUAAAGUUAUAGUUGCUGUUCUGUAUCUACAUCAGCCAUAUAAAAAAAGACCAUAGCCCCCUGUGGCAGGGCACUGUUUGUGCCUGCCACUUUAAGACCUGGGGCCAAGCAGCCAGCAGGUACUUAAUUGCAGGGGCCAUUUUAGAGCUCUGGCCACCCAUAUAAACAGGGCAUUUUGCUACUGGUUGGAGGCAUAGGAACAUUGCCUGGCUGUGAGGCUUCAUAGAACACUCUGGAGGUAAGAGAGGAGCUGUAAGGGAUGGUCAGGAGGCUUCUGGUCCUGGGCAUGACCUAAAAUUGUGCCCUGCCAGGAGUGUGGCCUGGUGGGGCUCUCAGUGGUGUGGGAGCCCCCAGGAAAUGCCAGGCCAGUUACCAGCCUGGUGAAAGUUGGGUUGGGGUGCCUGAACCCCAGCUCCCACAACUGGGUGGGUUACCCCCUUGUAGGGUCUGGAAGGUGGACCCCAGUGAGAGAGGGGGGCCAUAGACUCAGAAGCCUGUCUCGACAUCUCCCAACUGGUCAAUGCUGGGACCAGGACCAGAAGGGUAAAAGGGCCAAGGGCCCACCAUGAGGGAUGCCCAGAGCUGAGGGCCUGGGGUUCUGACUGGCCUGGAGGUGGGCCAAGGCCAGUAGCCAAAGGUCCUGGGGGGACCACACCUGUAAGGGGGAAAUAGCUGGGGGAGCUAUGCUGCCCAGGAUGAAGGCAAAGUAGGCCGCCUGAAUGGAUGCAUCCAGGUGGGGUUCAAAUAGUAGGAUCUUGGGACUCAGAGUGGGGCUGGUGAAGUUGACAAGAGAAGAUGCCAUCUGUGAGGUAUGGGCUGCGGUGUAGGGAAGGUAUGGAGCUGCAGAUAGUGCCCCCCUGGCACCGGGGCAAGAAAUGGGCAGCCUCCUGCUUAUUAAGAUGAUUGAUUGAUUAAUAUCAAGGUGUGGCAGGUGAGAAGGUGGGCGGUUGGCCCAGAACAGGUGGGCAGGCCAAAGGUUAAUAGGCCCCAAGAAGGCCCCCUGUUACACCCCUACACACCUGUCAUCAUAUGUAUACGACCGUAUACCAAUUCUUUUUAUUUUACUUUAUCUUCACUUGACUGACAACUCGGGCACUGUCUCCUGGUUGGAUGUUUCACACCUUAGUCUGGCACACAGCUUUGUGUGAGCUUCACAAGAGGCUUAAUAUUAAAGCAAGCAAGAGCUUUUUUGAUGACAAUAAGAACAUGCAUUGCACUGUGUUCUUCCAUUGGUGACUUAAGAAUCAGUCUGAUAACCAUCAAUUGCUCACUGGGCUAUACAUCUUCUGUGUCCUGUCAAUCGGGUCUCACCAAAAAACACAUUUCACGAAUUUCUGCUCCCAUGUUUUUUAGGGCAGUGUUUUGUUUUGUUCUGUUUUUGUAGGAAUAGGAAGCAAAGCAGAUAGAGGAGAUUGAUUUAAUGGCCUCCCCACAAGGAAGUGUACUUGCAUUACUGUUAUAUAACAUCCAUGUGAACGACUGGCCAAUCGAUUUUUGGAGCUUCCUCAUCAGCACCCAAUCUCUCAAAGCCACAGUGAAGGAAACACAACUACAGAUGUGUAAUGAGACACUGAAGAAAAUACCUAGCUGCUGGCAUGUCCAUAUUUUUGCUGUAAAGUCCUCACCCUCAGGGGCUGAUGAACCAUGGCAAAGGCGGCAAUGUCUAAACUGCCUAUAUACUAGAUGUUGGCGCUAGAUUUAUGACACAGAUACCUUGUUCUGGGCAGAUCCUCAAACUGACCAUGACUUCUUCCAUUCAAUAAUAAGCACAGUCUAUUGAUACACCAUGAUAGCAGAUAAGAAUAAUGCAGGCAAGGCAAACAAAAUACACCCCACCCCCCCGAUUCUAUAUAUACCAGUCCUAGGGUUCACAGAGGAAAGGUACACUUGGUCAGUAUGCGAACUUCACCCUAUUGCUCUUUCUUGAAUGUCAGAUGUCCGCCUGGAGGUCAAGGACUGACUGGGGUAGAUGAGAUAGCUGGUGAUGCACCUUCUGUCCACAGUGCCCUUGGGGACCCUUUCCAACUGUGAAAUCCCUCCUUUUGUACAGGAAACUCUUGCUAUUCACUAGUUCAGCGUUCGCAGUUUCAAAUAUUCAUGAAUGCUGAACCCACAUCUAUUUGGCAAUUAUUUGGGCCCGAGGGCCACAUAGGGAGUUUUGAUAAGCUGUGGUGGGCUGGGUUGGCAUCACUCACCACAAAACCUCACAAAGGCUUUUGAUGGCACCUUGGGUGAGUGGGGAGCAAUGUUUGGGAGCUGGAAAGGUGUGAUCCGCUCCCUGCACACCCUGCUCUGUGGGGGGUGGGGCAAGUGUGGCUGGAGGUGUGUAGAGGGGGCAUGUAUGUGUGGUGGGGGAGGCUCUGUGGGGGGCAGUGGCUGCCUGGGAGCCAGCCAGGGAUGAGGAGAGGUAGGGGGAGGAGCAUGCAGCAGAGCUUGCCUGGUCAGCAUCUGCCCCAGGCAGGGCAGUAUGUGCUGUGUUCCCACCUGCCCCCACCAGCUCAGAAGCUGUGCAGGCUGGCUGAAGCCCAGGUUGAUGGGGCUGUUCUGUUUCCCUCGCCUCCAGAUGUGGCUGCUGCUCCUGCCCCUGCUGCACCACUUUGGGCAGAGGGGAAGCUUCAAACAGGUGGCUCCUGCCCAGUGCAUGGGGCUUCGUCUCUAGCUCCUGGCCACCUUCCACCCACUCUGCCCACUCACAGGUGGCUGCUCAUCACACCAGGCAGGCAGAGUGGGUGGAAGGCAGCUGGGACCUGGAGCCAGAGCUCCAUGCACUGGGGUAGGAGAUGCCCAGCUAAAGCUCCCCACCCACCUGCCUGGAGAUCAGAAGAGCUGGGAUCUCCCAGCUAUAGGAGGGCCCAGAGUAUAAUGGCAAAUUAAAGUGGGAUAGAAACCAGCUAUAAAGUCAUCAUUGUUUUUUCAUUGUUUCUGGAGGGUUUUCCUUCUUCUUUGGAGAUGGUCUUGCCUUUUAAUUGACUCCUUUAUGGAAGCCCCCUCCCUCCUGACACCACAUCCCAUGGAUGACAACAAAGCACGAGAGUCCAGACAGGGCAGCACUGUGGCUUUAUUGCUUUCCUUUUCAUCAACUGACUUUUACUAUCACAGGUCCUCCAUGUAAUAGGCCUGUGCGAAGCAGGAUUUGGAUUUGGAUUCGGCCAAUUCGGACGGACAGUGAUUUGAUUCAAAGAUUCAAAUCACUGUCCCAAUUUUGAUUCAGCCGAAUCAGAUCCAAAGAUUCAGCGCCACUUCAGAAAUUCAGCCAUAGACUAAACAGGCAGCAGUCCUCACCAGGGUGGACACAGGUGCCUCCAGCUGGACCAGCUGCUGAUUGACUCUUCCUUCCGUCUUGUCAACCCCAGAUUACAUCCUGGACAACAUCAUCUGCCUCUGCCUGGGCAGGGAGGGUCUGCUCAUCCUGCAACUGAUUGUGACUGAACUAACAUACAUCUGGAGGAAGGAGCGGGGGCUCAACUGAUUUCCCCACCUUCCCUCUCCUACUACCUCUCUGCAGAGUGAUGCAGCUGGUACAGGAGGAGCACAGUGGAGUCACUCCAUGACAUUGCAAACCCAAUCAGGGUGCUUGCACCCUUGGGAUGUGGAUUUGCAGCAGGCUGUGCAUACAGCUAUAGCAGUGAGCAUAUCAGCUGAAGCUUGGAGCUGAAGGCCGCAGAAUGCACGCAGGCUAUUGGACAGCUGCAACUCCAGACAGAAGCCAGGAAAACAAGGGGAGCAGCUGAGGAGAGGGCUGGGCAAAGGAGCUGAGAACUGCAGCUAGAAGCUCAGUCAUAGUGGACUCCAAGAUGAACAUGAGUUGUCUGUGUGAUGAAAUCAUCAGCAAAGCUAACCACACUUUAUCAUGCAUUGGCAGAUGCAUGACAAAUAGAACCAAGGAGAUGAUAUUUCUCCUCUAUGCGGCAUUGGUCAGACCGCAGUUGGAGUACUUUUUCCAGUUCUGGGUGCCGUACUUUAAGAAGGAUGUGGAUAACCUCAAGAGGAUCCAGAGGAGAGCCACUCUUAUGGUUAAGGGUUUGCAGGCCAAGACCUAUGAGGAGAAACUAAGGGACCUGGAUCUCUUCAGCCUCCGCAAGAGAAGGCUGAGAGGUGAUCUUGUGGCCGCCUACAAAUUCAUUAGGGGGGCGCAGCAAGGAAUCGGAGAUGCUCUGUUCACCAGGGCGCCUCUUGGGAUAACAAGGAACAAUGAUCACAAACUGACAGCAGAUUUAGGCUGGACAUCAGAAAGAGCUUCUUCACGGUAACAGUAGCCAAAGUUUGAAAUGAGCUUCUAAGGGAGGUGGUACUCUCCCCUACCUUGGGGGUCUUUAAGAGAAGGCUGGAUAGGAAUCUGGCUGGGGUCAUCUGACCCCAGCACUCUUUCCUGUCUAGGCAGGGGGUCAGACUUGAUGAUUUGUUGAGGUCCCUUCCGACCCUAGCAUCUAUGAAGCUAUGACGGGGGGUGGGGGGGAGGCCAGUCGCGUUCACCAAUCAAGGCCUGACACCUAGUGAGAUGAGAUACCCAGUCCAUAAGCUAGAAUUUUUUUUUUUUGUGGGGGGUGGGGAUGGCAGCUGAACUGAUCUCACUAUUUUAUGUGGAGGAAACUCAAGACCCAAAGAAAUAGGGGGGAAUAUGCUCACAGUAGCACAGACUGCCUGUGUCUAUGUUACUGUGAGCAAACCCUGGAGCCCCAAGCCACAGCCUGGUGCUUUAACCAUGAUUCACAUUGCCACCCUGGAGUCAUCAAAAAAAGUCAUGACACUGCCCUACAGUUUCUGAAAUUUUAAUACCAUCUGACAUUUUUGCUUUUGCUGUCAGAGCUGCUGGGGUGGCCUUAUUGGAGUCUCCCAGCACUCUAGGAGCCAGGGCUUUAAGAUGAACAUCAAGCUUAUAAGGCUGGGGAUAAACUGGCUAGAGUUAACAGUAUGUCUGGGGCAUGAAGGUAUUUCCUCUUGGCUUCCAGCUCCAGAAUGAUACACAGGAGGGUGGAAAAGAGAAUUCAGGCCAGGCACUGCUUACUCUAGCACGGAUUGCUGCACUGAUUCUCCUAACAUCACACAUUUACACAUAUUAUCUUGAAGUGCAAUCUACCUCAUGAUGGUGCAGGGUAGGGACAAUGAUCCCAGAUUUGGUUAAUUUGUUCCUGAGAUAAAACAUCUCAAAAAUUGUGUCCCUACUAUCUCCUAGUUCUUUUUUCUAUGUAUGCCUGGGGUGGAAACAAUAGUUUCAGUCUGCCCCAGACUGAUCUCAGCUGCUUGGGACUUAUUUUAGCUGAUCCCUUCUGGGAGGGAUAUUUCCAAAUCUUGUAAGAGUAAAGUGGAAAGAGCUGUUGAGAUGAGCUGAUGUGCCAAAGACAAAGAAAGGAGCACAUCCACAAAUAGCAGAGAUCUGUUUAGGACAGAAGGUUUGCAGGAGGGUUUUGUCAAGAUAAUGUGAUGACUCAAGGUGAUGAGCUCCUGACACUGAACCUAAGCAAGUGCCAUGUACUAUGAGUCUGAACCCCCCGUCAACUGUCAGGUGAAGUGUGCCGUGGAGCAGUACAGGGGAUGUGAGGUUGGCAGAGGGAAGGAUAGGGCUCUGCUAUUUUGCUAACAUUUCCUGCAGUAGCUGUACUGUAGCACUGCUGUUGGGAAGCCAGCACACCACUAACCAAUGGAGUCUUUUAAUUGUAGGAUUUUAGCCAAGCUCCAGCAUUCUGUAAAUCUAGUUUUGUAACCACUAUUUUGAAGAAAAACUGGGUUCCUCAAAUGUAGUUCUCCUAGGAUCCUUCAAUGAAUAAGGGCUUAUCUUCAAAGAGAUCUCUCUGGGGGCACAGAAACAGAAUCAGACCAUCUGCCUCUCUGUGGGAAGGAUGACUGUGCUUAGCAGGCAAGGGCAGAAGAAAGGACAAUAAUGAAGGGCAACAAAAAAACUACAAUGCAACCUCAUAAUAACCAACCACUGCUUUUAACAAUCCCAGUAGCAGGAAUCAUUUUUUUCAUUAUUAUGUUACAGCAAAUUGCCUAUCUCUAUUGUAACCAAUACCCUCCCUUAAUGAACUUUUCCUCCCCAUUUCUGUGGGGGUUCGUUAUAACAAAGUUCUGUCACAUGCAGCCAGGGCCUUCUGUAGUUGAUAACCAUUGUCAAGGAGCUGGAAGCAAUGGAAGAGGAGAGCUGGGCUGCAGCAGAUGGAGAUGCUGAGAGAGUACUUAAAAAACAAAACAGAAAUUAACUGUUUAAAAAUGUGAUUAACACUGUCCAAGCUCCUUGCAUUACACCCUUUAGGAACAUCAUACUCAGCUAUGCUGAAACCCUUGCAAAUCAGACAGUGCAGAGACAGCAAAUCAUACAGCAUAUUCAUAAGACAGCCCUCUUUCAGCAAUGAAAGGGGACACAGCAAGCAGGAGUUCUCUACACUUGGUCUCCACUCAGACACCGGGCCUUUGCACAGACAUCCCCCUUCAUAUCAUAGAAACUGUAGAAAACAUAGAGAAGCAGAGCUGAAAGGGACCUUCACAGGUCAUCUAGCCCAAGCCCUUGCCUGAAGCAUAAUCAUCACUACCCAAACUUUAUACAAAUCCAUCAUCUAACCCAGGGGUGAUGCGUAGGGGGUGCACGUGCACCCCCUGAGUGUGGUGGUGCACCCCCUACAAAAAGGCAUUGCUGACCCACUUGACACCCCACCGCAGACACCGCUGGCAGUGUCUGUGGGUGGUCCACGAUUCCUGAUGGCUGCUGCCGGUGGUGGCUGCAGGUGGUCACUGCCCUUUGGUCAGUGCUUGCCAUCCCCACCGCCGACAGCGCCAAUGGCAUCUGCAAGAGCUCCUGCUUGCUGCCGCUGUGCUCCCGCCACCGCCGUGCCGCUGGGGGCAUGCACCAUUCAUGAUCUAACCUCUUAGUAAAACUACCAUCAACCCUGAAACAACACAAGACAUAACAACCUAACCAGCCACAGGUUUCACUUCAUCAGCCCUUGCCCUGAGGAUCCCUUCUGAAAUGUUAACUUUAUGUUUCAUAUUUUAUGUCCUGGGAGCAAUAGAGGUAAACCAGAACAAGGUGCACUCAUUCCUGACUAUGAGUGACCCCUGCAUGGAGUGCAACUAGCAGAACUAACGCUGAUAUGCUAGGAAUUUUACCAGGAAAAUUCCUGUUGUAGACAAGCCCCUGUUCUGGGGUAAGAAAUUUUGAGGGGCUGUACAUUUUUGUUCUGUGUUGUCAUGGUGUCCACCCUAGUGAUAAACAGAAGAAUGACUCUU
Alligator mississippiensis (American alligator) is the source of this 10207-nucleotide long non-coding RNA. RefSeq lists it as uncharacterized. Lineage: Eukaryota; Metazoa; Chordata; Crocodylia; Alligatoridae. The record is from RefSeq and is a predicted model, not a curated record. The transcript has 2 exons.